GAGGCCUUGGCUUAAGGUUAAAGUGUCUGAAUUGCAGUCAGAAGAUGUAGUGUGAAUACAGGCCUUC
Molecule: transfer RNA, 67 nt
Filed under: Cyrtodactylus philippinicus
Lineage: Eukaryota; Metazoa; Chordata; Lepidosauria; Squamata; Gekkonidae
Description: tRNA-Ala
Rfam family: tRNA
About the family: Transfer RNA (tRNA) molecules are approximately 80 nucleotides in length.
Source: RNAcentral